Molecule: ribosomal RNA, 465 nt
Filed under: uncultured bacterium
Lineage: Bacteria
Description: partial 16S ribosomal RNA
Rfam family: Bacterial small subunit ribosomal RNA
Source: RNAcentral
CCUACGUGAGGCAGCAGUAGGGAAUCUUCCACAAUGGGCGCAAGCCUGAUGGAGCAACACCGCGUGCGUGACUAAGGGUUUCGGCUCGUAAAGCUCUGUUGUUGGAGAAGAACGUGCGUGAGAGUAACUGUUCACGCAGUGACGGUAUCCAAUCAGAACGUCACGGCUAACUCCGUGCCAGCAGCCGCGGUAAUCCGUAGGUGGCAAGCGUUAUCCGGAUUUAUUGGGCGUAAAGCGAGCGCAGGCGGUUGCUUAGGUCUGAUGUGAAAGCCUGCGGCUUAACCGAAGAAGUGCAUCGGAAACCGGGCGACUUGAGUGCAGAAGAGGACAGUGGAACUCCAUGUGUAGCGGUGGAAUGCGUAGAGAUAUGGAAGAACACCAGGGGCGAAGGCGGCUGUCUGGUCUGCAACUGACGCUGAGGCGCGAAAGCAUGGGUAGCGAACAGGAUUAGAUACCCUGGUAGUC